This 253-nucleotide ribosomal RNA is filed under the name uncultured bacterium. RNAcentral's name for it is "partial 16S ribosomal RNA". It matches the Rfam family "Bacterial small subunit ribosomal RNA", at positions 524 to 776 of the family's 1533-position model. The record is from RNAcentral.
UACGUAGGGUGCAAGCGUUGCCCGGAAUUAUUGGGCGUAAAGGGCGCGUAGGCGGCUUGGCAAGUGGAAGGUGAAAUACCUCGGCUUAACCGAGGAACUGCCCUCCAAACUGCUUCGCUUGAGACCGGGAGAGGUGAGUGGAAUUCCCAGUGUAGCGGUGAAAUGCGUAGAUAUUGGGAGGAACACCAGUGGCGAAGGCGGCUCACUGGACCGGUACUGACGCUGAUGCGCGAAAGCGUGGGGAGCAAACGGG